This 468-nucleotide ribosomal RNA is filed under the name uncultured bacterium. Its description in RNAcentral is "partial 16S ribosomal RNA". It matches the Rfam family "Bacterial small subunit ribosomal RNA", at positions 28 to 507 of the family's 1533-position model. The record is from RNAcentral.
GACGAACGCUGGCGGCGUGCUUAACACAUGCAAGUCGAACGGAAAGGCCCUGCUUUUGUGGGGUGCUCGAGUGGCGAAAGGGUGAGUAACACGUGAGUAACCUGCCCUUGACUUUGGGAUAACUUCAGGAAACUGGGGCUAAUACCGGAUAGGAGCUCCUGCUGCAUGGUGGGGGUUGGAAAGUUUCGGCGGUUGGGGAUGGACUCGCGGCUUAUCAGCUUGUUGGUGGGGUAGUGGCUUACCAAGGCUUUGACGGGUAGCCGGCCUGAGAGGGUGACCGGCCACAUUGGGACUGAGAUACGGCCCAGACUCCUACAGGAGGCAGCAGUGGGGAAUAUUGCACAAUGGGCGGAAGCCUGAUGCAGCAACGCCGCGUGCGGGAUGACGGCCUUCGGGUUGUAAACCGCUUUCGCCUGUGACGAAGCGUGAGUGACGGUAAUGGGUAAAGAAGCACCGGCUAACUACGUG